This is a long non-coding RNA of Pectinophora gossypiella (pink bollworm), 782 nucleotides long. RefSeq lists it as uncharacterized. NCBI's taxonomy places the organism in Eukaryota, Metazoa, Arthropoda, Insecta, Lepidoptera, Gelechiidae. The transcript is spliced from 3 exons. The record is from RefSeq and is a predicted model, not a curated record.
GUAAGUAUAUAAAACGUAUUAAUUUUAAUUCUAUAAAUAAAUUGUAAGAAUAUCUUCGCGAUAUUGGACAUAGCAGUCUUCGAAUAUUCAAUAGACAACUCAGUUCUACGCUUUUACUUACUCGCACAAAUAUGAUCCACAAUUUGUUAUUCACAAGAAUAUUUAAAAUUAUCCGAAGUUAUAAAGUAAUAUCCUGUGUAAGAAGUAUUCAUAAUAUUUUGUACGUACGGAGAUCGAGAUGAUGCGGGGAAUAGGAAACUGCAUUCAGUCUGGAAAUAAACCAGUUUAUGGCAAUCCAGUUAACAUUAACAAGGCUCGACUGAACAGGAAUCUGUUUCAAAAACCGUCCCCUUUACGAGUUGCCCGUUUACUAUCUGAGCAACUUCACAAAGGGUUCUUCUUAUCCGAAGUUGGCAAAGGCAAAGUGAAAGAACGCCGGGCAAAGUGUAAAGGCCACGAUCACCGCUGUAAACCGCAGCCACACACCCGCUCGCCGCACAUUGCCAACCCGGAGCGAUGUGGAAUCUAUUACGUCGACGUUCAUGGAACUAGGUCGAUGUAAACCCGCAACAAAGCAAGUGUGAUACGUAAACGAAACUGUAGCGUAAUAUGGCUCGCACGUACAGGACCAGGUAACAGGUUUACAGAUAGAAAUGAGGAAGAUAUGAAACCACAAACAAAAUUUCACGCCCGGCCUGAGUUUCUGCUUUGAAGUCUAAUGGCGUAGACAAAAUCACAAAACAAUUUAUAACUUACCUCAAUAAAUUGUUAAUUGUAAACAA